Molecule: long non-coding RNA, 756 nt
Organism: Pogonomyrmex barbatus (red harvester ant)
Lineage: Eukaryota; Metazoa; Arthropoda; Insecta; Hymenoptera; Formicidae
Source: RefSeq, a predicted model, not a curated record
AGGUACGACAAGAGGGCCCGGCAGCACCUCAACCCACCUCAACUUCGGGCCUAGUCAAGAAAAAAACUCUCUCAAUUAAUUCAAGAAACAUUCUUCAACGCAACAAAAAUGAUCUAAACCUGACAUUUGAGCAAAGUCGGAUCUGAAUAUCAUGUGCAGACUCUGGUUGAAAACUCAAAUCCUUUGGAGUUAAUCCGGGCGUUCGAUCCGGCAUACAUUGAGGGCCAAAUAGCUGCCUCGAGUAUAUCAGGCAAAAUAAAAAGGAGGACCUAUUUAUCUUGACGCCCGCGAUCGUAAAGAAAGGCCUUUCGAGGAUACUCACGGGGGAUAUCUGAUUCAUCAGCUUCAUUCAUCAACGUCGACCGCUUCUGUUUCUUUCAUUUCUUUGAAACUGUACACGGUUUCUCUAGUGCAUGAGCAACGUGCGGAAGCACUGGCGUUGUUAGAUGCAUCUCGGAAUGUCUGGCGAUAAUGAUCAACGUUGAAGUGGGGUGGGUGUUGACGGAGAGACGGCUCUACGAAGGAAGGAUGCGGGGAGAACGAAAAGAUAGAUAGAGAAACAGAGAAAAAGAAGGAGAGAGAAGGAGCAAAGGUGGUAAUUCGAGGCCCGGAGGUGAGUGAGUAAGGUAUGCUAGUACUAAAUGAGAUUGGUUCGCUCUGACCAUGCAGGACAACUUUUCGGUCCUACUCAGCCCGUCUAAGUCCUUUCCUCAUCCUCGAUGAGACCCACUCCACAGCAUCUCCCUACCAUCGCAG